Molecule: ribosomal RNA, 630 nt
Filed under: uncultured archaeon
Lineage: Archaea
Description: bacterial SSU rRNA
Rfam family: Archaeal small subunit ribosomal RNA
Source: RNAcentral
CGGUUGAUCCUGCCGGAGGCCACUGCUAUUGGAAUGCGACUAAGCCAUGCGAGUCAAGGGGCUCUUCGGAGCACCGGCGUACGGCUCAGUAACAUGUGGGUAACCUACUCUCAGGUGGGGGAUAACCUCGGGAAACUGAGGCUAAUACCCCAUAGAUAAAAGAUACUGGAAUGUUCUUUUAUCAAAAGCUCCGGCGCCUGAGGAUGGGCCUGCAUCCGAUUAGGUAGUUGGUGAGGUAACGGCUCACCAAGCCUGCGAUCGGUACGGGUCGUGAGAGCGAUAGCCCGGAGAUGGGGACUGAGACAAGGCCCCAGGCCCUACGGGGCGCAGCAGGCGCGAAACCUCUGCAAUGUGCGAAAGCAUGACAGGGGCAUUCCAAGUGCUCUUGUUUUACAAGAGCUUUUCUCCGGUCCAAGACGCCGGAGGAAUAAGGGCUGGGUAAGACCGGUGCCAGCCGCCGCGGUAACACCGGCAGCUCGAGUGGUGGCCGCUAUUAUUGGGCCUAAAGCGUUCGUAGCCGGGCAGGUAAGUGUUCUGGUAAAUCCCAUAACUUAAUUAUGGGGCUUCAGAAUAUACUGCCUGCCUUGAGACCGGGAGAGGCUGGAGGUACUUUCGGGGUAGGGGUAAAAU